Molecule: long non-coding RNA, 423 nt
Organism: Suricata suricatta (meerkat)
Lineage: Eukaryota; Metazoa; Chordata; Mammalia; Carnivora; Herpestidae
Exons: 3
Source: RefSeq, a predicted model, not a curated record
GGGCAGACACGCGUGCCCACACGCCGAGUGGGUUAGCGGACAGCUUGCGUCUUGGGUCUCCAGGGGCACACUGGAAGGUGCGCACGGGAGCGGACUCUGCCCUGUAAGGAGACACUGAUGCAAAGAAUGUCUGCCUCAGGAGCUGGAUUCGUGGGUCACUGAUGGCUCCUGUCCUUAUGUAUUUCGAGACCAGCUGUGACUCAGAUGGAGGUGUGCCACCAGCCGGGGCCCCGAGGAAGAGCCAGAGCUGGCCCAGAGGUGGACGGACCGGUGGUAAGCAGGAAUCCUUCUGGAUGUGAGGCGCCGAAACAGAUGCGUCAUACCCCGGCGUAGCUUAGCCUGAAGUGACCACUUCCAGGGUCCUCCCAUACAUUGUGAGUCUCAUUUUCCACAAAUGACAUUCGCAUCUCUCAAGUCCUAUGG